Lactuca sativa (garden lettuce) is the source of this 644-nucleotide long non-coding RNA. RefSeq lists it as uncharacterized. Lineage: Eukaryota; Viridiplantae; Streptophyta; Magnoliopsida; Asterales; Asteraceae. The record is from RefSeq and is a predicted model, not a curated record.
CUCAACCAAAAUUAUCUAUAUAAAUAUCCUAGCAUUAGAGACUUUAGGGUUUAGGGUGAGAGAGAGAGAGAGAGAGAGUCGCUGGAAUCUGUCAAGAAUGGGUGUGUGUGUGUGUGUGUGAAAAUAGUGUUCAUCAGCAUUGUCGUUCAAGCAAGUAGGAACUGAUGGAUGGUUCAGGUCAACUCCUUCCCAACAACUGAAGAAAAACCUCGAAUAUGGUUGGGUCUGGACAUCGUCGAGCCUUCCUUUUGUUUUGCUGCCUCACCGCUGCCUCCAUGGGUGUUGUUGAAACAUCAAUUCUGGGGGAAAGAAGCCAGUCGAAAAUUGGAGAAUCGAAGAUGCAGCUUUGAGCCGGUCCAAUCAGAGGAAAUGGAGUGAAGGAAUGAGAAAAAAGGGAGAAAGCAAUACAAGAUUAGAAGGAGAAAGGUAAAACAACAUAUAAAAUUUAGGAAAUAAUUUUUUCCUCUGUAGAGGCGAUGAGAAGUAGGAGCAAUCGGAUUUAGGAUUCUAAACAAAAUCAUGAGGAUUGGAAUUGAAAUAAAUAAUGGGAAUGAAAGGAGGGAAAACAACAAAAAGUGAGGGAGUGUGAAUUUGUAACAAAACUAAAAUUCAAAAGAUUUUGAAUUCAUGGAAAUUGAAUUUUA